Molecule: long non-coding RNA, 3095 nt
Organism: Peromyscus californicus insignis
Lineage: Eukaryota; Metazoa; Chordata; Mammalia; Rodentia; Cricetidae
Exons: 2
Source: RefSeq, a predicted model, not a curated record
ACUUUCUGGAAUCCCAAACUUGUAUGCUGCACAAAACACCAUCUAUUUGAAGUGCUAGAAUGUUCAGAGCACUGUGUAGAAUUUGACAGACACUUGCAGGUGAUAGCAUUCUUAGUUUUCAUGAGCUUUUGAUAUGUCUAUCACAGAAUUGUAAAAAUAAUACACAUGGUCUUUUAACUAAUCAAAAUUACUUGAAUAUUUCAAUUUUUUUAAGUUUUAUUAUGUUUUCCUAAAUAAAUAGUCUAUAUUCAAAAGUUCCAGGAGGCAUUUUGAGAGGGGACGGGGAGAGGAGUAUGAGAUGGAGGAAUAGGAGGAUGAGUGAGCAGGGCUCAAGGUCCAAAAGAGACCUGGUGGUGGCACAUUUCUUGAGCUGGGUAUGGGACGUGGUGGAGUCUCACAUUAUUUAUUUUGUCAUUCUUGUUACUACAUGUAUGCCACAAAUUUCACACUGUAGUCAUCUGAUAUGGAAUAAAACGAUUUAACUGAAAGAAUUGUAGUACAUGCAGCACCCAUGAUAAUGAAAUUAUGAAGCUAAAAUAAGCGAGUGUGCGGAAUGAAGCAACUGACGGUUUCUCGCUGUGUACUGGCAUUUCUGUUCUAACCUGUUAAGUAGGUAAGUGUUAGAGGAAAAUGAGAAGUAUUUAAAUAGGAAAGAAAGUAGCAAGAAGAAAGGAAGGAAAGAAGGGAGGGAGGGAGACAGGGAGACAGAUAGAGAUUGUCUUUUAACGGACAGAGAGACAGAGACCAAAGCAGAAGGCCAGCUGUGAGGAGCUGCAGCCUUCCUGGCUUCUGCCUAGAGCCAGGCUAACAGGCGGGCUGGCGCCUGCUUUGCAUAGGAGUCUACAGCCCGAGGCCAGGAGCACAUUGCAUGGCUCUGCCGCCCAGGGUUCAAAUCGAACUACAGGAUUCCAGCCUGGUGAUGUCAAGCAGUUGACUUCAAUUCCAAGACACUUUUUGUGACAAUUCUUUUCUUUCAUAAAAACGACAGAUCAAUAUUUACUUGAAGAUACAGUUGAGUACAAGAUUGGGAGCGUGCGCGCACCGGUGUUCUUGCACUCCCUCUGCUGGUCUUGCUGAUUAACAGAAUCAGCCUCUAAGCAGUCCGGUGAAAGAGCCAUGCUAGAGGACUACCGAGGACUAUUGAGGGCAACCGAAGACAACUCUGAGGAGGACUCCUGAGGAGGACCACUGAAGAGGGCACCUGAAGACAACUCUGAGGAGGACUCCUGAGGAGGACCACUGAAGAGGGCACCUGAAGACAACUCUGAGGAGGACUCCUGAGGAGGACCACUGAAGAGGGCACCUGAAGACAACUCUGAGGAGGACUACCGAGGAGGACCACUGAAGAGGGCACCUGAAGACAACUCUGAGGAGGACUACCGAGGAGGACCACUGAAGAGGGCACCUGAAGACAACUCUGAGGAGGACUACCGAGGAGGACCACUGAAGAGGGCACCUGAAGACAACUCUGAGGAGGACUACCGAGGAGGACCACUGAAGGAUGGCCAGCUAUGUGUCAGAAAUUCAUGUUGCUUGGCCCCCAGAUGAAGCAAAGUUAACCUAAGAAAAUUUGCUCAUAGGUGAUAGAAGCAAAUAUAUACCAUGAUCAUUUUUAUAUCUUGAAGAAAGUGUCAUGUGAAAUGAACAGUUUCACAUGUCUCAAAAAAUGUCAUUCUCCCCCUCCCAAAUAGUUGAGCUGGUUACUCAUGUUCUAUCCAAAUGUAUAUAUAAUUUAUAAGACGCAUAAAAAUAUGGUGCACGAAUUUUGUAUCUGAAUAUUUACACCCUGGGAAGCGAAAUGGAAAGUUGUUUGGCUUUGAUGGCGGGACUCUCCGGCUGGAGACGCAGCUGCCCGGGGGCUCCACUCCCACAUCCUCGACUCCCCUCAUGGAGUUGCAAAGAGAGUGACAGCUCCUGGCAAAGCCCAGGCCUAAUCAUAGCUCAGAGAAAUGACUUUUGGAAGGUACAUUACCAAGCAAUUAGGAGCCAUUUAAUAAAUUACCCCUUAGGAAACACUUUGAACCCUAGUGGUCUGAAGAGGUUAAUGCACCUCUCACAACUGAGUGUUACUACUCGCUUUCCCGGGGGUAACACUAAGGCCACAGCUCAACCAACCCACUUCUCCUCAAUGGCCUCUUACUUUUGAACCACUUCCCUAGUUGGUAUCCAAAGCCCACGCACUUCACUCCCCCCUCUGCAGGUCACAUGUGACAUUCUCUUACUGCGCAUCCAUUGGGCGAGCGGCUCAUGGUGCCAGAGGACUUUCCGCUGAGGUUAACCAGCCCGGCCGGCUUCUUGCUGCUUAUUUUCGAGGCCAUUUUUUCUUAUUUAUAGAGAAUUUGGCUUCUGAGUUUCCUUUAAAUGUUACAUAUGAUGCAAUUUCCUUUCUUCUGAAAUUGUUGAGUAGCAACCACAUUUUAAAUGGAUCCAGUGCUCAGAAUUAAUUUUUAGGACGUUAAAUUUGGAGAACAUCCAUGGUAGGUAUAUAUUUAUAAGCUAAAAUUUUACUAUGGCCAGACACUAAAAAAAAAAAAAAAAAUCCGAAAAGGCAGGGUGUCGGGGAAGCUCUGUUGGAUACUAGACCAUAAUUAGAUUUUUAAAAAAGGUUUUUUGAUUUAAUUUAAACUCAACUUGAGAUUCUUGGAACAAAAAUGUUUAUGGCCCAUCAAUCUUCUUUAUUUUAAAAGAUAUUCAAAGAAUGGGAUGAAAAGAGAGAGAAAUUCCAGAAUAUUUCUGUGACUCCAUUAAGGCCAACACCACACUAGCCCUUUGGAUGGACUGCUGAAAGUUGGUUCCAUAAUCAUCAUCAACAUUGUCAUGAGGUAUUGAGUUCUGAUCCUAUUGAAGGCUCUGCCAGGAGCCACAGGAGAUGAGUAAGACAUGGUGCAGGGCUUUGAGACACUUAUAGCUGUGUGGUUGAGCUAGGAUUUACGUGUGUGGGAAAAUAACAGCAAUGAGUGGAAAUUACCAAAGGAAGAGGAAUCUGCUCAGGAAGACUUGGUAGAGACAUGGCAUUUCCUCAAGCCCUUGCUUAGUCUCUGAUAAGAAAGCUGAAAGGAAAAUAAAGUGGAAUAUUCCAACACUGAAAGAGUCAA